GCCUCUAUAGCUCAGUGGUAGAGCGCUUGACUUGUAAUCAAGAGGUCCGUGGUUCAAUCCCGCGUGGAGGCA
This 72-nucleotide transfer RNA is filed under the name Aspergillus flavus NRRL3357. RNAcentral's name for it is "tRNA-Thr (TGT) (tRNA-Thr-TGT-1-1)". It matches the Rfam family "tRNA". From Rfam's summary of the family: Transfer RNA (tRNA) molecules are approximately 80 nucleotides in length. Their secondary structure includes four short double-helical elements and three loops (D, anti-codon, and T loops). Further hydrogen bonds mediate the characteristic L-shaped molecular structure. tRNAs have two regions of fundamental functional importance: the anti-codon, which is responsible for specific mRNA codon recognition, and the 3' end, to which the tRNAs corresponding amino acid is attached (by aminoacyl-tRNA synthetases). tRNAs cope with the degeneracy of the genetic code in two manners: having more than one tRNA (with a specific anti-codon) for a particular amino acid; and 'wobble' base-pairing, i.e. permitting non-standard base-pairing at the 3rd anti-codon position. The record is from RNAcentral. Lineage: Eukaryota; Fungi; Ascomycota; Eurotiomycetes; Eurotiales; Aspergillaceae. RNAcentral also lists the same sequence under 2 other names.